CAGUUUUUUUCCCAGUAAGUGAAAAAUUCCCUUUUAUGGAGGAUCGAUUGAUAAAUGACUGUACAAUUUGUGUCUGAACAGUAUCAACAGGAUAAAAGGGUGAUAAAUUGACGCGAUUUUAGAGCACACGGCUGGAAACGAAGGUUUAGAAGUGCACCUGUUUCUCACAAUGGACCCUUGAUUUUGGACGCAAUUUUGACUGACAGUUUCGAGAAGACGAUUUGAAUACCUUUCCUCAAUUGAAUAUUCAUCAGGAGCUUCCAUAUCAUAAUGAUGUGUUUCAGAUGAAGGGCAGAUCGCCCGAGAGUGAGAGUUCCAAAUACCACAAGCAACGAGGUUUCGCCUUGUAACGCCAGCAGGGCGCCUGCUCGACAGAUAAGGCCCGGUGAUAAAAUCCACGUUCGGAUUAUUAACAGAAAAAGAAGACAAGAAAAAAAGAAAAUGAGACUGUAAAUUUAAAAUUUAAUCUAUGUAUAUUUACAAAUAAAUUAUUUUAAGCCAACAAAUUGUAGCAUCAAGCUGUAGUUUUGUGCAGCCAUUUUGAAUUACUAAGAUGGAGGAUGUCAAUGAAAAAAGUUUAAAAACUGUCAGAAUUGAAAUCUUUAUCUUUAAAUUAGUUUAUAAUGAAAAAAAUCAUGUUGUUUGGACCGUUCUGUCGCGAGUUACUUUGUUUUGAAUAUUUAGAUAUUUCUUUAGAUUUGACCAGAAUUUGCUGCUGCAGUGAAAAAUCUCACUAGAGUCAUCCCGGGCUGAGUGGGCCCGGGUUGAGUCAUCCUGGGUUGAGUCAUCCUGGGUUGAGUCAGCCCGGGUUGAGUCAUCCUGGGUUGAGUCAGCCCGGGUUGAGUCAUCCUGGGUUGAGUCAGCCCGGGUUGAGUCAUCCUGGGUUGAGUCAGCCCGGGUCGAGUCAUCCUGGGCUGAGUGGGCCCGGUUUAAAUCAGCCCGGGCUGAGUGGGCCCGGUUUAAGUCAGCCCGGGCUGAGUGGGUAUUAUCAUACUUUAUCUUAUUCACACACUUAAUGAUUUUGCAUCGAUAGGAAUUGCGAUAUAAAAUGAAAAUAUUCAGCAAGAG
Rhopilema esculentum is the source of this 1068-nucleotide long non-coding RNA. RefSeq lists it as uncharacterized. Lineage: Eukaryota; Metazoa; Cnidaria; Scyphozoa; Rhizostomeae; Rhizostomatidae. The record is from RefSeq and is a predicted model, not a curated record.